RNAcentral lists this long non-coding RNA (1239 nucleotides) under Polistes fuscatus (common paper wasp). Its description in RNAcentral is "uncharacterized LOC122520559". Lineage: Eukaryota; Metazoa; Arthropoda; Insecta; Hymenoptera; Vespidae. The record is from RNAcentral.
UACGUUAAAAAUUCUAUAAAUAAGUAAAUAAAUAAAUAUAUAUGUAUAUAUACAUUUAUAUAUAUAUAUUUUGUUGCAAUCGACUUUGACCUGGGCAGGGCUCCAGUGUGUCCUAUAUAAUACUAUUAUUAUUAUAUAAUAUAUAUCAGUAUUUUGUGUAUUUUUUUAUCAAGUUGACAAAAUAAUAAUUGUUAAUAUAUUGUGCAAAUAUCAAACAGAUACCGUCCAAGAAUAAUAAACUAUAAGGUUGACGAUUAAGUUUUCCCUAUACCUGAAAACAUUUGGAUAGAAUAGGUGAUAAUUGUAGUCUAGAACAAACCUUUUGCUCUUUUUUUUAUAUAUAUAUAUAUAUAUAUAUAUAUAUAUAAGACCAUAACAAGGUGUCUCAAAAUAUUCUGGCAUAACUUCAAGAAUAAAUUACCCAGCACGUUUGCUUCAUCUAAAUUCGUUGAAUUUUUAUUUGUGGGAGUAUCAAGUUUUUAAUUUGCUACAUCUUGGUAAAAAAUAUUAAACGUGGUCAUUUUGAAUAGUGUUUCUCUAUGAAACUUAUUUAAUAAUUUAUAUAAUACAAAAAUUGCUAUAAUUUGGAAACAUGUGUUACUGAAACAACCCUGGAAGUUAUGUUUACAUAUUUUGACUAUUGAAAAUUAUUAAUCACGUUUUUCUUUGGGCAAUUUUGAUAAUUUAUUUAUCAAAAAAUAUCGUAACAUUUUUUUUGAAAAAUAAAAACUAAAAAGAAAAGAAUAAAAAUAAUUUUGAUAACUCGGGCACAGUUCGAUUGAUACUUUUACUAAUAAUAAUAAUAAUAAUAAUAAUAAUAAUAAUAAUAAUAAUAAUAAUAAUCAUAUUAAUAAUAAUAGUAUUAAUAAAAGAACAAAUAUUGAUUUGGUGAUUUACCUAUUUUAUUAUGUUUUGCUUUCUUCCAAUGAAUGUUUUUACGAUAAGCUGUUGACUUUGUCUGUAACGUUCAAUAUUACCAAUGAAACUUAUAUAAGAUGUGUUCUAAAAAUAUGUUUAAGCAAUAUGAUUAUUUGUCAACACUUGUUACACGAAAACUUGUUUUGCACUCAACAACGAGCAAUAUGUCAGAAUAAUCGGCCGUAUAUUCGCCAAGGACAAUUGAAAAUACUUAUUUAAACAGUUAAAGAUCCUUUAUGCGCAUACUCCGUUCUGCAGUGUCCGUUAAACGAAGAAAAUUUGGACCAGUGCCGUUUGGUACAUCAUCAACGAAAGAGGCAA